This 201-nucleotide long non-coding RNA is filed under the name Gossypium barbadense (sea-island cotton). Its description in RNAcentral is "long non-coding RNA (GBAR_LNC000603)". The record is from RNAcentral. Lineage: Eukaryota; Viridiplantae; Streptophyta; Magnoliopsida; Malvales; Malvaceae.
AGCCUCGCUGCAAUCUGGUGGCUUUACCACAUAUAUAUAUCUGUUCUGGUGGCCUAGCCACAAUAUCUGUAUCUGGUGACUUCGUCACAAUAUCUGGCAGCCUCGCUGCAAUUUCUCUGGUGUGUAGCGGUUGGGUGGGUCGAGUAGUCUCCCCACAUGGUGUAAGGCUGGUACGGGGGUGUUAUGAAUGGCUCUGGGUUG